CCUUCGAUAGCUCAGUUGCAGAGCGGAGGACUGUAGAUCCUUAGGUCGCUGUUUCAAAUCCGGCUCGAAGGA
Molecule: transfer RNA, 72 nt
Filed under: Merluccius polli (Benguela hake)
Lineage: Eukaryota; Metazoa; Chordata; Actinopteri; Gadiformes; Merlucciidae
Description: tRNA-Tyr
Rfam family: tRNA
About the family: Transfer RNA (tRNA) molecules are approximately 80 nucleotides in length. Their secondary structure includes four short double-helical elements and three loops (D, anti-codon, and T loops).
Source: RNAcentral